This is a long non-coding RNA of Setaria italica (foxtail millet), 1237 nucleotides long. RefSeq lists it as uncharacterized. The record is from RefSeq and is a predicted model, not a curated record. NCBI's taxonomy places the organism in Eukaryota, Viridiplantae, Streptophyta, Magnoliopsida, Poales, Poaceae. The transcript has 2 exons.
UCGCAGUCGACCCGUUCCGAUUGAUUGUUUUUAGCAGACAAGUUAGUAGGUACAUUAACUGUUGAUGUUCGCAUGCAGUCGACCCGUUCCGAUUGAUUGUGAAGAUUUCGGAAGGACACAAAUUGUAGUUGUGUUCUUCGAUGGUUGGCCUGCUUUUUGGGCAGUUGAUGGUGUUGACUUGCCAAGCCCGCCGAGCUAUCGCCGGAACAGUAUCUGCCACUGUACCGCGCUGAAGACCGCUGCAAUGAUGCCCGUGAAGAGAAUCCGAUGCUGCUUGAAUCUCUGUUUUGAAGCGCAACGGUCAGCCACGGCGCGCUUUCCCGCUCCUCCGCUUCGGGGGAUGCGCAACCUUCCACGGCCCUGCGCAUAUACCAACGCCGUCCGCGCACCCGGAGCAACGCCGUUUUACAGCCUGACCUGCUGCCUCCACCGGCUGAGCAGAACAACCUCGGCGUCGCCGGCGCAGCGCUGGACGCCCCGCAGUGCGCCGCGCCUUCGCAGAACUCGUCUGUCGUGACCAUUCACGCAGGAACGAGUGCGAGGCAGCCCGGGCAAAGGCAGAAGCUUUUCUGAGCAGCGUCCGCCUCGUGCUACAAACGCCGCUGGCGCAAAGAACGCCGCAGCCACCACCGUCCUGCCCAGGGGCGGCACCAACGCCGAGAAGGAGUGGUCGCCUUGCCAACCAGCCCCUGAACCUCACCGUCCGCCCAUCUAAGAAGGAUAACAAGCCAGACCGGGACGGUGUUGGCGAACGCGUGAACGCCGUCACCACCAGCAUCACCAUCCUUGGUCGUCGUCAAGUCUCAUGGUCGACGUCGCUACACGUGGAGUAACGAACGUUCACAUCCGACAAUGGCGAAACUAGACCGGGUUCUUGUCUCUGUUGAAUGGAAGCUCACUUCCCCUUCUCCUUCCUCCAGGCUAUGUCAUCGGCAAUGAGUGAUCAUUGCCCUUUACAUCUCGCGACAAACGCAACAUUCACGGUCCAGCGUCGCUUUCAUUUUAAGCCAUGGUGGCUAAAUUAAAGCUGCACGGGUUCAUGGAUGCCGUAGCGAGGGGGUGGACAUGCCCAAAUACGAUGAUCGAUCCUUUUGCCCGUCUAGAUUGUAAGCUGAAGAAUACUGCUAAAGAACUUCAGAGAUGGAGCCAACGUAGCGUCGGUCAGGUGAAAAUGCAGCUUUCAGUGGCGAAAACAAUUAAUAUUAUACUAUGGCUUGACAGAGCUCAGGAAGUGAGA